CUCUUGACUAUCCCUGAGAUGUAUGAAUCUGGAAAGUCUACUUCUUUACAUAACAUACUGAAAUUGUCAUCUCAACAAUAACAAUUAUCAAUAUGACCCUUCGGAUUCCUGAUUUUCUCCAGAGUCAAAAUGGCAAUGAGGCAAAUGUUUUGAAAAGACUCAAGACAUCGAGGCAACCUUAACAGCACCACCAAAGACACUCACACAAGCAGACCUCCAGAGCUGCUUCAGAAAAUGUCAAGAACGUGAUAGUAAGCAUUUUGGAGCCACCACACCAAGGCAUCAGAAGAGUUAAUCCCUGGUUCUGCCUGCAGUGAAAUCGUCAGCAGAGAGAUGAGCUUGUUGCCAUGGGAAGGAAAGACCAGAACGAUCAU
This is a long non-coding RNA of Fukomys damarensis (Damara mole-rat), 374 nucleotides long. RefSeq lists it as uncharacterized. The transcript is spliced from 3 exons. NCBI's taxonomy places the organism in Eukaryota, Metazoa, Chordata, Mammalia, Rodentia, Bathyergidae. The record is from RefSeq and is a predicted model, not a curated record.